Molecule: ribosomal RNA, 600 nt
Filed under: uncultured bacterium
Lineage: Bacteria
Description: bacterial SSU rRNA
Rfam family: Bacterial small subunit ribosomal RNA
Source: RNAcentral
CUACCUGAUUCAGCGGCGGACGGGUGAGUAAUGCCUAGGAAUCUGCCCGAUAGUGGGGGACAACGUUUCGAAAGGAACGCUAAUACCGCAUACGUCCUACGGGAGAAAGUGGGGGAUCUUCGGACCUCACGCUAUCGGAUGAGCCUAGGUCGGAUUAGCUAGUUGGUGAGGUAAUGGCUCACCAAGGCGACGAUCCGUAACUGGUCUGAGAGGAUGAUCAGUCACACUGGAACUGAGACACGGUCCAGACUCCUACGGGAGGCAGCAGUGGGGAAUAUUGGACAAUGGGCGAAAGCCUGAUCCAGCCAUGCCGCGUGUGUGAAGAAGGUCUUCGGAUUGUAAAGCACUUUAAGUUGGGAGGAAGGGCAGUAAGCUAAUACCUUGCUGUUUUGACGUUACCAACAGAAUAAGCACCGGCUAACUCUGUGCCAGCAGCCGCGGUAAUACAGAGGGUGCAAGCGUUAAUCGGAAUUACUGGGCGUAAAGCGCGCGUAGGUGGUACAGCAAGUUGGAUGUGAAAUCCCCGGGCUCAACCUGGGAACUGCAUCCAAAACUACUGAGCUAGAGUACGGUAGAGGGUGGUGGAAUUUCCUGUGUAGC